GCUACGGGUGGCAGCAGUGGGGGAUAUUGGACAAUGGGGGAAACCCUGAUCCAGCGACGCCGCGUGAGGGAAGAAGGAUUUCGGUAUGUAAAGCUCUGUUAGCAGGGAAGAAACAAAUGACGGUACCUGACCAAGAAGCCCCGCCUAACUACGAGCCAGCAGCGGCGGCAAUACGUAGGGGGCAAGCGUUAGCCGGUUUUAGUGGGUUUAAAGGGUGCGUAGGGGGAGUGUUAAGUCAGCGGUAAAAGCCCGGGGCGCACCCCCGGCGCGCCGUUGAAACUGGCCGUCUUGAGAUGACGAGAGGUAUGCGGAAUGCGCGGUGUAGCGGUGAAAUGCUUAGAUAUUGCGAAGAACUCCGAUUGCGAAGGCAGAAUACCGGCGGCGAUCUGACGCUGAGGCACGAAAGCGUGGGUAUCGAACAGGAUUAGAUACCCUUGUAGUC
Molecule: ribosomal RNA, 442 nt
Filed under: uncultured bacterium
Lineage: Bacteria
Description: partial 16S ribosomal RNA
Rfam family: Bacterial small subunit ribosomal RNA
Source: RNAcentral